This 305-nucleotide ribosomal RNA is filed under the name uncultured bacterium. RNAcentral describes it as "bacterial SSU rRNA". It matches the Rfam family "Bacterial small subunit ribosomal RNA", at positions 335 to 638 of the family's 1533-position model. The record is from RNAcentral.
UCCCUACGGGAGGCAGCAGUGAGGAAUAUUGGUCAAUGGGCUUACGCCUGAACCAGCCAAGUCGCGUGAGGGAAGACUGCCCUAUGGGUUGUAAACCUCUUUUGUCAGGGAGCAAUUGGCGCUACGUGUAGCGUUAUCGAGAGUACCUGAAGAAAAAGCAUCGGCUAACUCCGUGCCAGCAGCCGCGGUAAUACGGAGGAUGCGAGCGUUAUCCGGAUUUAUUGGGUUUAAAGGGUGCGCAGGCGGACCAUCAAGUCAGCGGUAAAAUCGUGGGGCCCAACCCCAUCCCGCCGUUGAAACUGGCG